UGGGGAAUAUUGCGCAAUGGGCGGAAGCCUGACGCAGCGACGCCGCGUGGGGGAUGACGGCCUUCGGGUUGUAAACCUCUUUCGACUUCGACGAAGCCUUCGGGUGACGGUAGGGGUGGAAGAAGCACCGGCCAACUACGUGCCAGCAGCCGCGGUAAUACGUAGGGUGCGAGCGUUGUCCGGAAUUAUUGGGCGUAAAGAGCUCGUAGGCGGUGUGUCACGUCGGCCGUGAAAACCUGCAGCUUAACUGUGGGCGUGCGGUCGAUACGGGCAUCACUGGAGUUCGGCAGGGGAGACUGGAAUUCCUGGUGUAGCGGUGAAAUGCGCAGAUAUCAGGAGGAACACCGGUGGCGAAGGCGGGUCUCUGGGCCGAUACUGACGCUGAGGAGCGAAAGCGUGGGGAGCGAACA
Molecule: ribosomal RNA, 410 nt
Filed under: uncultured Pseudonocardia sp.
Lineage: Bacteria; Bacillati; Actinomycetota; Actinomycetes; Pseudonocardiales; Pseudonocardiaceae
Description: bacterial SSU rRNA
Rfam family: Bacterial small subunit ribosomal RNA
Source: RNAcentral